RNAcentral lists this long non-coding RNA (655 nucleotides) under Equus caballus (horse). Its description in RNAcentral is "lncRNA (ENSECAG00000057159.1)". The record is from RNAcentral. Lineage: Eukaryota; Metazoa; Chordata; Mammalia; Perissodactyla; Equidae.
AAAUUCCUCUAACCCCCGCACACAGAAACGAGCAUUGUUAACAGUCAGUGAAAAGUGAGCUUGCCUGGAUCCACAGAAAACUCAAAUCCUAUUCUAAGUCAGUGAUUCUUCUGAAGUGUGGUCCUUAGAGCAGCAGUAGCAAUAUCAUCUGGGAACUUGUUAGAAGUUCCCAGAAUCACCUGGGAACUCAGGCUGCACCUGGGACUUUUCGAAUCAGAGAAUCUGGGGUGGGCGCAACAAUCACCUCCAGAUGAUUCUGGUGCAUGCUAGAGUUUGAGAACUACCAUCUUGGGAAUGUGAGAAGGAGCCAAACAGAAAGCAAGAAUACGAUUCAGCGUUUCCAACGGAGACUGUGUCUGGUACAUAGCUGUAUAUUUUAGCGGUGGGUCCUUCUAGUAGUGGCAUGUGGGAUGCUGCCCCAGCAUGGCCUAAUGAGCAGUGCCAUGUCCAUGACCAGGAUCCGAACCUGCGAAACCCUGGGCCACGGAAGCGGAGCCGCAAACCCAACCACUCUGCCACAGGUCCACUCUCCACGUUUCCUCAUCCUGCUGUUGCCCCAGGAGGCUGACGUGUAUGCACUUGUACUUCAUCAACAACUUCCCUCGACCUCUGGCUUCCAGUUCUUCCAGUUUUCUUCAAUAUCUGGAUACAAUCC